AAUUCUCCUGAUCUAAAUGCACUUGAUCUUGAAUAUUUCAGAUCCCUUGAGUCUUUGACCGACUAUAGAGCACCCACAACUAUCAAAGAAUUGAUUCAAGGUGUGCAGGAACAAUUUGAUGAGUAUGAUGCCGGAAAACUCAACAGAAUAUUUCUAACACUUCAAACCGUCAUGGUAGAAGUGAUGAACCAUGAAGGGGAAAAUUCAUACAAAAUUCCACAUUUGCGCAAGGAUAGAUUGGAAAGGCAAGGAAUCCUACCACCUAGGAUUCACUUUCCCCGUGAAGUUUAUGAACAUGCCAUGGAUAUUCUAGAACAAGAUGUCCAGUGA
Molecule: ribosomal RNA, 330 nt
Filed under: Triticum aestivum (bread wheat)
Lineage: Eukaryota; Viridiplantae; Streptophyta; Magnoliopsida; Poales; Poaceae
Description: partial small subunit ribosomal RNA
Source: RNAcentral